GCCGGUGCGCGGGGAAGCAGGCGCGCCACGGUCAGGUGCGGCGACGGUCGGCGCAGAGCUCAGCCCUCAACCACUCCCCCAGCUUGAUCUGCGAGGCGGCUCCCCACGUCUGACGCGUGGCAGCCGAAGCGGGUGUUACCCUGAUGGAGUCACAGAGUGGCACGGGGCACCCGGGGCAGAGAAUGAGGUCACAGAAGGAUGCCUCGAGUUUGGGAGGCCCCGGGGGCAGGCGGGAGUCAGACCAGGUCACCCGGCAGAGGAGGGACUCCCGGAUGCGCCAGGGCCCAGGGCUUCGUUGGAACUUUGGAGGCGGCGGAGGGGAGAGCAGGUGGCAGGUGUGUGAUGUCCUGCUUCCCAUGAUAAUGAUGUCACCGAGCUGGCAAAGGCGGGUCAACACAAGGGAGGCAAAGACGCUGACAACCUACAGGCAAACUGGGGAAAUGUUUGCAGCCCAGUGAAAGUGACCAGCCUCCCAGAGGCGAGGAAGGCUGGACUCUUACUCCAACACGACUGGUAUCCUUACAAGAAGAGACACAUACACAGAGAACACUAUGUGAGGGCACAGAGAUGCAGAAAAGAUGGCCAUUGGAGUCAUGUACCUACAGCCAAGGUCCCCAAGGAUCAUGGACAACCACUGGAAGCUGACAGGCAGGGAACGAUCGAAUUCUUCCCGAAAGCCUACCGCAAGGAGCCAGCCCCGCCAACACCUUGACUUUGGUCUUCGAGUUACCAGGGCUUUGCCUGCCUGCCCUUUUUGUGUUUAUCUUGUUAAGUACUGACAGGCUUAAAAUAUAGACCCCUAGAGGGCAAGAUUCAUAUCUAUAUGGAGUGUGCUGCAGAACAUACACUCAUGCCUCAUAUUCUUCUGCACAAAUUAUUUUUGACGAUUUUGUUUGUUUGCUUGCUUUUUGGUGCUUUCAGACACCCUGUGCCUUUCUGACUUUAUAAUCUGAGUAACUUCAGCUACGUGACUCCUGGUUUUUUUUUUUUGCCACUGCGGUCUCAGAGCUCCAAAAUUUGGAUCGGAGACAUGGAAACACCUUUGGAAAACCUUUAUGUGAAACAGGAGUGACUUGUCCUCUGCACCCUGACACUUAAAUUAUCCUGACAUACAAUUUUGUGCGUAUGAGACAGUUGGAAGGGACGGCUCUAAUUUCCGUAACGAACACAGGAAGCACAAUUCAAAGUUUAUGCUCUGGCUAUUGGGAGAGAUGGAAGCGAACGAGAGCUGGGGAGCCAGAACACGCAGCGGUAGGCUUCCACCGUGUCGUGAGGACGGAAGGGAAUCCUAAUGGGAAAGUGCCUAGUGUGUCCGGCCUAGAGGCGAUGCUCCCGAAGUGAUCGCUCGUCCCAAGCCGUCUGCCAAGGCUUCACGGGUCCUGAAUUCUCCCCCAGCUCACGUGUGCUGAUCGACAGUGAAUGGGAAGCAGAGCACAGAGGAGUUGCCGCCCCAUCCGAAGAAAAAGUCCCGAAGCCCGCAUUUGCCACUACGCUUUCCGAGAAAGCGCUCGUCUCCCAUUGCUAAUGCUAGCCCCGUUUCCCCUUGAGCCCGUGAACGCAUCGGGAGCUGGCCCAGAGACCCUCCGAUUUGCGCGCAUCGCAACACGCUGCACGUUACAAUCAAG
Molecule: long non-coding RNA, 1625 nt
Organism: Prionailurus viverrinus (fishing cat)
Lineage: Eukaryota; Metazoa; Chordata; Mammalia; Carnivora; Felidae
Exons: 7
Source: RefSeq, a predicted model, not a curated record